GCAGUCGAACGAUGAUGCCAGCUUGCUGGUGGAUUAGUGGCGAACGGGUGAGUAACACGUGAGUAACCUGCCCUUAACUCUGGGAUAAGCCUGGGAAACUGGGUCUAAUACCGGAUAUGACUCCUCAUCGCAUGGUGGGGGGUGGAAAGCUUUUUGUGGUUUUGGAUGGACUCGCGGCCUAUCAGCUUGUUGGUGAGGUAAUGGCUCACCAAGGCGACGACGGGUAGCCGGCCUGAGAGGGUGACCGGCCACACUGGGACUGAGACACGGCCCAGACUCCUACGGGAGGCAGCAGUGGGGAAUAUUGCACAAUGGGCGCAAGCCUGAUGCAGCGACGCCGCGUGAGGGAUGACGGCCUUCGGGUUGUAAACCUCUUUCAGUAGGGAAGAAGCGAAAGUGACGGUACCUGCAGAAGAAGCGCCGGCUAACUACGUGCCAGCAGCCGCGGUAAUACGUAGGGCGCAAGCGUUAUCCGGAAUUAUUGGGCGUAAAGAGCUCGUAGGCGGUUUGUCGCGUCUGCCGUGAAAGUCCGGGGCUCAACUCCGGAUCUGCGGUGGGUACGGGCAGACUAGAGUGAUGUAGGGGAGACUGGAAUUCCUGGUGUAGCGGUGAAAUGCGCAGAUAUCAGGAGGAACACCGAUGGCGAAGGCAGGUCUCUGGGCAUUAACUGACGCUGAGGAGCGAAAGCAUGGGGAGCGAACAGGAUUAGAUACCCUGGUAGUCCAUGCCGUAAACGUUGGGCACUAGGUGUGGGGGACAUUCCACGUUUUCCGCGCCGUAGCUAACGCAUUAAGUGCCCCGCCUGGGGAGUACGGCCGCAAGGCUAAAACUCAAAGGAAUUGACGGGGGCCCGCACAAGCGGCGGAGCAUGCGGAUUAAUUCGAUGCAACGCGAAGAACCUUACCAAGGCUUGACAUGGACCGGACCGCCGCAGAAAUGUGGUUUCCCCUUUGGGGCCGGUUCACAGGUGGUGCAUGGUUGUCGUCAGCUCGUGUCGUGAGAUGUUGGGUUAAGUCCCGCAACGAGCGCAACCCUCGUUCUAUGUUGCCAGCGCGUUAUGGCGGGGACUUAUAGGAGACUGCCGGGGUCAACUCGGAGGAAGGUGGGGACGACGUCAAAUCAUCAUGCCCCUUAUGUCUUGGGCUUCACGCAUGCUACAAUGGCCGGUACAAAGGGAUGGGAUACUGUGAGGUGGAGCUAAUCCCAAAAAGC
RNAcentral lists this ribosomal RNA (1212 nucleotides) under uncultured Arthrobacter sp. Its description in RNAcentral is "bacterial SSU rRNA". It matches the Rfam family "Bacterial small subunit ribosomal RNA", at positions 57 to 1282 of the family's 1533-position model. Lineage: Bacteria; Bacillati; Actinomycetota; Actinomycetes; Micrococcales; Micrococcaceae. The record is from RNAcentral.